GAUGAAGAACGUAGCGAAAUGCGAUAAGUAAUGUGAAUUGCAGAAUUCAGUGAAUCAUCGAAUCUUUGAACGCACAUUGCGCCCGCCGGCACUCCGGCGGGCAUGCCUGUCCGAGCGUCAUUUCAACCCUCAGGCCCGAACCCCCCCGGGGGGGGCGGGCCUGGUGUUGGGGCUCGGGGUCCGCGAGGCCCCCGUCCCCUAAAUCCAGUGGCGGUCGCGCCGCACCCUCCCCUGCGUAGUAGCACACCUCGCACCGGAGAGCAGCGCGUCCACGCCGUGAAACCCCCACCUUACCAAGGUUGACCUCGGAUCAGGUAGGAAUACCCGCUGAACUUAAGCAUAUCAAUAAGCGGAGGA
RNAcentral lists this unclassified non-coding RNA (357 nucleotides) under soil metagenome. RNAcentral describes it as "partial contains 5.8S ribosomal RNA, internal transcribed spacer 2, and large subunit ribosomal RNA". The stretch from base 1 to 120 matches the Rfam family "5.8S ribosomal RNA", at positions 35 to 154 of the family's 154-position model. The record is from RNAcentral.